This 506-nucleotide ribosomal RNA is filed under the name uncultured bacterium. RNAcentral's name for it is "partial 16S ribosomal RNA". It matches the Rfam family "Bacterial small subunit ribosomal RNA", at positions 30 to 523 of the family's 1533-position model. The record is from RNAcentral.
AUUGAACGCUGGCGGCAGGCCUAACACAUGCAAGUCGAGCGGCAGCGGAAAGUAGCUUGCUACUUUGCCGGCGAGCGGCGGACGGGUGAGUAAUGUCUGGGAAACUGCCUGAUGGAGGGGGAUAACUACUGGAAACGGUAGCUAAUACCGCAUAACGUCGCAAGACCAAAGAGGGGGACCUUCGGGCCUCUUGCCAUCAGAUGUGCCCAGAUGGGAUUAGCUAGUAGGUGGGGUAACGGCUCACCUAGGCGACGAUCCCUAGCUGGUCUGAGAGGAUGACCAGCCACACUGGAACUGAGACACGGUCCAGACUCCUACGGGAGGCAGCAGUGGGGAAUAUUGCACAAUGGGCGCAAGCCUGAUGCAGCCAUGCCGCGUGUAUGAAGAAGGCCUUCGGGUUGUAAAGUACUUUCAGCGGGGAGGAAGGCGUUGUGGUUAAUAACCACAGCGAUUGACGUUACCCGCAGAAGAAGCACCGGCUAACUCCGUGCCAGCCGCCGCCGUAA